RNAcentral lists this ribosomal RNA (252 nucleotides) under uncultured bacterium. Its description in RNAcentral is "partial 16S ribosomal RNA". It matches the Rfam family "Bacterial small subunit ribosomal RNA", at positions 524 to 776 of the family's 1533-position model. The record is from RNAcentral.
UACGGAGGAUGCGAGCGUUAUCCGGAUUUAUUGGGUUUAAAGGGUGCGUAGGCGGGCUUUUAAGUCAGCGGUAAAAAUUCGGGGCUCAACCCCGUCCGGCCGUUGAAACUGGGGGCCUUGAGUGGGCGAGAAGAAGGCGGAAUGCGUGGUGUAGCGGUGAAAUGCAUAGAUAUCACGCAGAACCCCGAUUGCGAAGGCAGCCUUCCGGCGCCCUACUGACGCUGAGGCACGAAAGCGUGGGGAGCAAACAGG